Molecule: ribosomal RNA, 318 nt
Filed under: Ophiothrix fragilis
Lineage: Eukaryota; Metazoa; Echinodermata; Ophiuroidea; Amphilepidida; Ophiotrichidae
Description: partial 16S ribosomal RNA
Rfam family: Bacterial large subunit ribosomal RNA
Source: RNAcentral
GGACUGGAUCAACGGCUUGACGAUAAGAAAGCUGUCUCUCUUUACUAAAUUCUGAAGUUAGCUGGAUAGUGAAGAGACUCUCUUAGCAAAGCGGGACGAGAAGACCCCGUUGAGCUUUAGUAAAAAUUGUUUAUUAAAAACUUGAUUACUUGAGUUGGGGCAACUAUCUUUCUUUUUUAAAACAAAGAUAAAAAUGUUUUGAGUUGAUUCUUUUAUGACCCUUAAUCUUAGGAAUAGUAGAAAAAGUUACCACGGGGAUAACAGCGUAAUUUUUUUUGAGAGUUCUUAUUGACAAAGAAGUUUGCGACCUCGAUGUUG